AUUGAACGCUGGCGGAAUGCUUUACACAUGCAAGUCGAACGGUAGAGGGGCAACCCUCGAGAGUGGCGAACGGGUGAGUAAUGUAUCGGAACGUGCCUAGUUGUGGGGGAUAACGUAGCGAAAGUUACGCUAAUACCGCAUACGAUCUACGGAUGAAAGCGGGGGAUCGCAAGACCUCGCGCAAUUAGAGCGGCCGAUAUCAGAUUAGGUAGUUGGUGGGGUAAAGGCCUACCAAGCCGACGAUCUGUAGCUGGUCUGAGAGGACGACCAGCCACACUGGGACUGAGACACGGCCCAGACUCCUACGGGAGGCAGCAGUGGGGAAUCUUGGACAAUGGGCGAAAGCCUGAUCCAGCCAUUCCGCGUGCAGGAAGAAGGCCUUCGGGUUGUAAACUGCUUUUGUACGGAACGAAACGCGCUGUGCUAAUACCACGGCGUAAUGACGGUACCGUAAGAAUAAGCACCGGCUAACUACGUGCCAGCCGCCGCCGUAA
Molecule: ribosomal RNA, 494 nt
Filed under: uncultured bacterium
Lineage: Bacteria
Description: partial 16S ribosomal RNA
Rfam family: Bacterial small subunit ribosomal RNA
Source: RNAcentral